AGAGUUUGAUCCUGGCUCAGAUUGAACGCUGGCGGCAUGGCUAAAACAUGCAAGUUGAACGACCUCUUCGGAGGGAGUGGCGCAAGGGCGACGAAUGUACCCCAAGGUAAAGGAUAGCUUCUGGAAACGGAAGGUAAUACUUUAUGUGCUCUACGGAGAAAAGGUUUACCGCCUUGGGAGCGGCGAUUAUCCUAUCAGGUAGUUGGUGAGGUAAAGGCUCACCAAGCCGAAGACGGGUAGCGGGUGUGAGAGCAUGACCCGCCGCAUCGGGACUGAGACACUGCCCGGACUCCUACGGGAGGCUGCAGUAACGAAUAUUCCGCAAUGCACGAAAGCCUGACGGAGCAAUGCCGCGUGUAGGAUUAAGCAUCUUCGAUGUGUAAACUAAUGUCAAUGACUAGAAACAACGAUCAGUCAUAAAGGAAGGACCCGGCUAACUUCGUGCCAGCAGCCGCGGUAAUACGAAGGGUCCGAGCGUUGCGCGGAAUCACUGGGCUUAAAGCGUACGCAGGCGGAUUUGUAGGUAUCUUGUGAAAUCCCACGGCUCAACCGUGGAACUGCAAGGCAUACUGCGAGUCUUGAACUCGGUAGGGGCCAUCGGAACUCUAGGUGGAGCGGUGAAAUGCGUAGAUAUCUAGAGGAACGCCAAAGGCGAAGGCAGAUGGCUGGGCUGUUGUUGACGCUCAGGGACGAAAGCAUGGGUAGCGAACGGGAUUAGAUACCCCGGUAGUCCAUGCCCUAAACGAUGUGCACUAGAUGGAGGAGGUUUUGACGCCAUCUCGGUCGUAGCAAAAGUGUUAAGUUUACCGCCUGGGGAGUACGGUCGCAAGGCUAAAACUCAAAGGAAUUGACGGGGGCUCACACAAGCGGUGGAGCAUGUGGCUUAAUUCGAAACAACGCGAAGAACCUUAUCCAGGGUUUGACAUGCACGGAUACCCUUUUCGAAAGAAGAGUAAGCCCUUUGGGUGAAACGUGCACAGGUGCUGCAUGGCUGUCGUCAGCUCGUGCUGUGAAGUGUCGGGUUAAGUCCCUUAACGAGCGAAACCCCUAUCUUUAGUUGCCAGCGAGUAAUGUCGGGGACUCUAGAGAGACUGCCGGUGUUAAACCGGAGGAAGGUGGGGAUGACGUCAAGUCCUCAUGGCCCUUAUGUCCAGGGAUGCAAACGUGCUACAAUGGCGUGUACAAUGCGAUGCGAGGCCGCGAGGCGGAGCAAAUCGCAAAAAACACGCCCCAGUUCGGAUUGCAGGCUGCAACUCGCCUGCAUGAAGUUGGAAUCGCUAGUAAUCGGAGAUCAGCUACGCUCCGGUGAAUACGUUCCUGAGCCUUGUACACACCGCCCGUCAAGUCAUGGAAGCCGGGAGUGCCCGAAGUCACGGGGAUUCACUCGUGCCUACGGCGAGUUCGGUGACUGGGACUAAGUCGUAACAAGGUAACCGUA
RNAcentral lists this ribosomal RNA (1438 nucleotides) under uncultured prokaryote. Its description in RNAcentral is "partial 16S ribosomal RNA". It matches the Rfam family "Bacterial small subunit ribosomal RNA". The record is from RNAcentral.